RNAcentral lists this ribosomal RNA (393 nucleotides) under uncultured bacterium. Its description in RNAcentral is "partial 16S ribosomal RNA". It matches the Rfam family "Bacterial small subunit ribosomal RNA", at positions 523 to 918 of the family's 1533-position model. The record is from RNAcentral.
AUACGGAGGAUGCAAGCGUUAUCCGGAUUUAUUGGGUUUAAAGGGUGCGUAGGCGGUUUGCUAAGCGGGAGGUGAAAUGCCGGCGCUCAAAGUCGGAAGUGCCUCCCGAACUGGUGGACUUGAAUGACUCUGCCGUGGGAGGAAUGUGUAGUGUAGCGGUGAAAUGCUUAGAGAUUACACAGAACACCGAUUGCGAAGGCAUCUCACGAAGGGUUGAUUGACGCUGGGGCACGAAGGCGUGGGGAUCAAACAGGAUUAGAUACCCUGGUAGUCCACGCUGUAAACGAUGAUUACUGGCUGUUUGCGAUACACAGUAAGCGGCCCAGCGAAAGCGUUAAGUAAUCCACCUGGGGAGUACGUUCGCAAGAAUGAAACUCAAAUGAAUUGACGGGG